CACGGGGGGAGCAAGCGUUGUUCGGAAUCACUGGGCGUAAAGGGCGUGUAGGCGGUCAGGUAAGUGAGAUGUGAAAUGCCCCGGCUCACCCGGGGACCGGCAUCUCAUACUGCUUGGCUUGAGUACGGGAGAGGAUGUGGGAAUUCCUGGUGUAGCGGUGAAAUGCGUAGAUAUCGAGAGGAACACCUGCGGCGAAGGCGGGUUGCUGGGCCGACACUGACGCUGAUGCGCGAAAGCCAGGGGAGCGAACGGG
Molecule: ribosomal RNA, 253 nt
Filed under: uncultured bacterium
Lineage: Bacteria
Also listed under: 1 other name
Description: partial 16S ribosomal RNA
Rfam family: Bacterial small subunit ribosomal RNA
Source: RNAcentral